Molecule: long non-coding RNA, 1210 nt
Filed under: Ananas comosus (pineapple)
Lineage: Eukaryota; Viridiplantae; Streptophyta; Magnoliopsida; Poales; Bromeliaceae
Description: long non-coding RNA (ACOM_LNC036332)
Source: RNAcentral
AUAGCCGGUGUUGGCUUAAAUGGGCCAGCAUCCUGCCCUGUGGUGGAAGGUCAUGUUGGACCGAGUUAUGUUCGAAAUGGCGUGAGGCUAGGUGGGCUGAGUCAUGUUCGAAGUGGCGUGAAGCUAUUUGGGCCGAGUCAUAAUCGAGACCCGUGGGUGCUGUAUCUAUACGCUUUAAGUGAAUUAGUUAUGUAUUUCUAACAGCUCGAGUUUUUGGGAUUAAUGGUUAGCGCCAACGAUCCGACAAGUAGUAUCAGAGCCAGAGGUCACAGGUUCGAUUCCCGUCUGUUGCAAAUGUGUGCAGGUGCUGGAAGGGAGGUUGUUGGCUUAAAUAGGCCAGCAUCCUGUCCUGUGGCGGAAGGCUAUGUUGGGUCGAGUCAUGUUCGAAAUGGCGUGAGGCUGAAUGGGCCGAGUCAUGUUCGAAGUGGCGUGAGGCUGGUUCUGUAUGCUUACAAUCGAGACUCAUGGGCGCUGUAUCUAUACGUUUUAAGUGAAUUAGUUGCGUAUUUCUAACAGCUCGAGCUUUUGGGAUUAAUGGUUAGUGCCAACGAUCCAACAGCUGGACUAUAUAUAUUCUUGUAAUUAAGUCUUAUAAUGCAAGUAACAAAUGGCUUUAUGGUUGGUACCAGAGAUUUUCAAGUUCGAAUCAUAAUUAAUUCAUAUUUCUAACUAAGUUUAUUUCUAAAAAGAAAUAAACGAAACAGGUUGGAUGCUACCUUUCUCUUUCUCUCUCAAAAAAGUCUUAUAACUUUAUUUAGUCAACUAAUAAAUUAGGCUGAAAUACUACCAAUAGCACCAAGCUAUCGGUGCUAUUUGGUUUUCGGCUUUUGGAUGAAUGAAUGUACGAUUAGGAUGAUGUAGGCUCUCUAUGGUUGAGUUGAAUAAGUUAUUGGUUGAAUAGUAUAAUCUAACAGAUGAAAAUAGUCAAAAGUGUUAAAUCUAACAAUCGAAAACUUGAUAGCACCAAGCAUUUGGUGUUAUUGAUAGUAUCCCAGCCGGACUCGCCAACUAAAUAUUGAUAUAUUACUAAUGUAGCGAUGAUAUAGUAGUAUUAUAAUUGAUGACGCAUCAUUUAUAUGUUAAUUAUGCGUUAAAAUUUAAUCAAACAAAUUAUAUUGUGAAAUUCGAUUAUAAUAAUUAUAAAAAUUCAAUCUAAAAAUUAUAAUAUAUUAAAGUUUAAGGACUAAAAUAUCAUCUACCUCAUAGUUUG